RNAcentral lists this ribosomal RNA (253 nucleotides) under uncultured bacterium. RNAcentral describes it as "partial 16S ribosomal RNA". It matches the Rfam family "Bacterial small subunit ribosomal RNA", at positions 524 to 776 of the family's 1533-position model. The record is from RNAcentral.
GACAGAGGCCUCAAGCGUUAGGCGGAAUCACUGGGCUUAAAGCGUGUGUAGGCGGAUCGUUAAGUGCCUUGUGAAAUCCCACGGCUUAACUGUGGAACGGCUGGGCAUACUGGCGGUCUUGAGCCAUCUAGGGGCGACUGGAACAAACGGUGGAGCGGUGAAAUGCGUAGAGAUCAGGAAGAACACCGGUGGCGAAAGCGCUCUGCUAGGCCGCAACUGACACUGAGGGACGAAAGCUAGGGGAGCGAAUGGG